RNAcentral lists this ribosomal RNA (420 nucleotides) under uncultured Gemmatimonas sp. RNAcentral's name for it is "bacterial SSU rRNA". It matches the Rfam family "Bacterial small subunit ribosomal RNA", at positions 355 to 774 of the family's 1533-position model. Lineage: Bacteria; Pseudomonadati; Gemmatimonadota; Gemmatimonadia; Gemmatimonadales; Gemmatimonadaceae. The record is from RNAcentral.
UGGGGAAUCUUGCGCAAUGGCCGAAAGGCUGACGCAGCGACGCCGCGUGGGGGAUGACGCAUUUCGGUGUGUAAACCCCUGUUGCCCGGGACGAACACCUCCUUUUGGGGAGGCUGACGGUACCGGGUGAGGAAGCACCGGCUAACUCCGUGCCAGCAGCCGCGGUAAUACGGAGGGUGCGAGCGUUGUCCGGAAUCACUGGGCGUAAAGGGCGCGUAGGCGGCUACUUAAGCGUGUGGUGAAAGUCCGGGGCUCAACCCCGGAUCGGCCGUGCGAACUGAGUGGCUUGAGCACUGUAGAGGCAGGUGGAAUUCCGGGUGUAGCGGUGGAAUGCGUAGAGAUCCGGAAGAACACCGGUUGGCGAAGGCGGCCUGCUGGGCAGUGGCUGACGCUGAGGCGCGACAGCGUGGGGAGCAAACA